AUACGGGGGGAGCGAGCGUUGUCCGGAAUCAUUGGGCGUAAAGGGCGCGUAGGCGGAUUGGUCAGUCAGAUGUGAAAUGUCCCGGCUUAACCGGGGAGUUGCAUUUGAAACUUCCGAUCUAGAGUGUCGUAUGGGAUGAUGGAAUUCCUGGUGUAGCGGUGAAAUGCGUAGAUAUCAGGAAGAACACCGGUGGCGAAGGCGGUCAUCUGGGCGAAUACUGACGCUGAGGCGCGAAAGCGUGGGUAGCAAACAGGAUUAGAAACCCUAGUAGUCC
This 274-nucleotide ribosomal RNA is filed under the name uncultured bacterium. Its description in RNAcentral is "partial 16S ribosomal RNA". It matches the Rfam family "Bacterial small subunit ribosomal RNA", at positions 523 to 796 of the family's 1533-position model. The record is from RNAcentral.